AUGAAUUGGAUACUUCAAGAAGAUGAACAAGAUCAAGGAGAUGAAGAAGAUCAAGAAGAUGUAGCGGGUAAACAAAAAAGAAGAGAAUUGCCAGAUAAUGAGAGGCAUGGUGUUUACUUCGCCUUGCUAGUAAUCGAGCUCAGAGAUGGAUCUGUUCAACUAGAUGACAAGCUGCUAGUCUCAACCAAUGUGAACAUACAUGUACGAUCUGUUGAAAGAAUCUGGGUAGACGCCAAAAAGCAAAUUGCUGAGGGCCAAUAAGUAGAUGUCUCAAACAAGAAGAAAAGAAGAGCUGGCCGAAAGAGAAAAGAGUUGGAUCUUGCAAGGACCUCAACAAUCCCACUGAAUAUAAGAAGGAUAAUUCAAUCUUUGGCAUGGUGUCUGGGUGUGGCCCAAUCGACCCUACAUAAGAGGUUCCAGUUGAAUGAGCUCAACCGCAUCACAAGCACUAUGAAGCCUCACCUCAAGCUAGAGAACAUGAUUGUGAGAUUGAAAUUUUGCAUGUCCAUGCUCGAUGACAAUUGGAUCUCAACUUCCCAGGCUAUGUUCAAGCCAAUGACCAAUAUUGUGCACAUAGAUGAAAAGUGGUUUGACAUGACGAGAGUGAAGAAUAGUUACUAUGUACUUCCAAGAGAACCUGAACCCAAGCGCACCGUGUCAAACACUAACAGCAUUGGGAAUGUAAUGUUCCCAACUGUUGUGGCCAGGCCUCGAUAUAACAAUGAGGGGGGGCUAACAUUCGACAGAAAGAUCGACAUUUGGGCAUUCAUCCAAGAGGCUGAAGCGGUACGAACAAGUCAGAACAGAGCAAAGGGAACAAAAAUGCUGAAAUCAUUGAAAGUAACGAGGCCUGCGUGCAAAGAUUAUCUCAUCAAUAAGGUUAUCCCAUCAAUUCAAGAUAAGUGGCUUGACGAUGAUGAGGGAGUAACAAUAUUCAUCCAACGGGAUAACGCAAAGCCUCAUGUCCUUUAG
RNAcentral lists this ribosomal RNA (972 nucleotides) under Triticum aestivum (bread wheat). RNAcentral describes it as "partial small subunit ribosomal RNA". Lineage: Eukaryota; Viridiplantae; Streptophyta; Magnoliopsida; Poales; Poaceae. The record is from RNAcentral.